Long non-coding RNA from Mya arenaria, 658 nucleotides. RefSeq lists it as uncharacterized. Lineage: Eukaryota; Metazoa; Mollusca; Bivalvia; Myida; Myidae. The transcript is spliced from 3 exons. The record is from RefSeq and is a predicted model, not a curated record.
UUCAAUCCGCUCAAAAUUUAUUUAAUACUGAAAUUGUCCGUGCAUGACCUAAAUAAGUGUUACUAUUUUUAAACUAUAAACAUCGUACAUUUAUGCUUUGGCUUGUGUUGUCAAAUCGGCAUUAAUGGCCAUUUAAUAUCAGGUUCAACAUGGACACGAUUGAUUUCAUUCAAGAUAGAGCACUUUGUCGACGGGAAAUCCAAUCAAGAAAACACUGACCCUCAAGCAGCUACUGUAUUUGACCAGCUCACACCAGCUAGGCCUCCUCCAAAACUCAGAUAAAUAUUUGAGCCACCAAAACAAAACGAGAACAGAUCGGUCUGAAUCGUUAAGAACUGAAGCUAACAUCAUAGAGGUACAUCCUUCCAAGAAUCCAUCAAAACAACAUGCUGAACAACUUCAAGAACUCUCUUCAAAAGACCACACUUUCCUGAAAUAAAUAAAAGAUGCCAAUAUUAAAAUAAAUCAGUUACAUGUAUUGUUAAAUAUUUUAAUACUAGCUGUAAAUGCUACUGCCUUUGAUGUUUGCUUUCUACAUGUAUAUCAUAAUGAAAUAUUGACAAGAUACUAGCUAAUGUUUUGUGGUUGUUGUUUUUCUCUGGACAAAUAGUCCAUUACUUUUGUACAGCAAAGUAAAAACUAAAUGUUAUAAAAAGCU